UGGGGAAUAUUGCACAAUGGGCGCAAGCCUGAUGCAGCCAUGCCGCGUGUAUGAAGAAGGCCUUCGGGUUGUAAAGUACUUUCAGCGGGGAGGAAGGGAGUAAAGUUAAUACCUUUGCUCAUUGACGUUACCCGCAGAAGAAGCACCGGCUAACUCCGUGCCAGCAGCCGCGGUAAUACGGAGGGUGCAAGCGUUAAUCGGAAUUACUGGGCGUAAAGCGCACGCAGGCGGUUUGUUAAGUCAGAUGUGAAAUCCCCGGGCUCAACCUGGGAACUGCAUCUGAUACUGACAAGCUUGAGUCUCGUAGAGGGGGGUAGAAUUCCAGGUGUAGCGGUGAAAUGCGUAGAGAUCUGGAGGAAUACCGGUGGCGAAGGCGGCCCCCUGGACGAAGACUGACGCUCAGGUGCGAAAGCGUGGGGAGCAAACA
RNAcentral lists this ribosomal RNA (427 nucleotides) under uncultured bacterium. RNAcentral describes it as "partial 16S ribosomal RNA". It matches the Rfam family "Bacterial small subunit ribosomal RNA", at positions 355 to 774 of the family's 1533-position model. The record is from RNAcentral.